AUAUUUUAAUUAUUUCUGUUCCUCCAAAAAUGUGGAAAUCGCUGUUCUCAGCUGAAGUGUUCUUUGUAAAGGCGUUUUGAGUCUUGGUAUAUAUUAUAAUACGCGUCCUAUACUCAUAUUUUAUAUGAUUUUCUUCAAGGGACCGGAUGAUUAAAAUUUGCCAUUUAUUCGUGUUAUUCGUUACGGCUAACGUAAACACUCGUAAAUAAAAAAGUGACGAUAAGAAAACAAGAAAGUGUCUUUAUGGCUGAUAUUCUAACAUCUGGUACAGUAAUGAAUACUCACCAAAAUUGGUGUCAGUUAUCGAGAGCCUCCAUUUGGAGAUCAACCACAUUAUACUCGAAUUCGAACUAAACCACCACCAACCAAUGUUUUAUGGAAGCAUUGCACUUUGCAUAAGCCUACACUUAUCGUCAAAGACGCCAGUGAUACAGCGAGGAUGUCGAGAAAAACACGAAGCUUAUGGAGACAGUUUGAAAAAAACAACGCGUGUUUUGGAAAAGAACCAAAAAACGCUUAUCAGAUAUUUUCCGAGUGGUUUGUCGUUGCGGCUACGUCACCCGCCAUUAACAAUAAGGAGUUUUUCUUAUGCGGCGUUGCUUUUAUUAUAACUAUCGGAUGAUUCAAUGGCUUUUUUUCUAUGUUGUCUCAUAAGUAAUUAUACAUAUCAAUAAAUCGAUAUUUACUCGAUAUUUAUUAUUUAUAUCGA
Molecule: long non-coding RNA, 709 nt
Organism: Aphis gossypii (cotton aphid)
Lineage: Eukaryota; Metazoa; Arthropoda; Insecta; Hemiptera; Aphididae
Exons: 3
Source: RefSeq, a predicted model, not a curated record